UGAGGAAUAUUGGUCAAUGGGCGCAAGCCUGAACCAGCCAUGCCGCGUGCAGGAAGACGGUCCUAUGGAUUGUAAACUGCUUUUAUUUGGGAAUAAACCUAUUUACGUGUAGAUAGCUGAAGGUACCAAAUGAAUAAGCACCGGCUAACUCCGUGCCAGCAGCCGCGGUAAUACGGAGGGUGCAAGCGUUAUCCGGAAUCAUUGGGUUUAAAGGGUCCGCAGGCGGAUUUAUAAGUCAGUGGUGAAAGCCUACAGCUCAACUGUAGAACUGCCAUUGAUACUGUAAGUCUUGAAUUCGGUCGAAGUGGGCGGAAUAUGACAUGUAGCGGUGAAAUGCUUAGAUAUGUCAUAGAACACCGAUAGCGAAGGCAGCUCACUAGGCCUGGAUUGACGCUCAGGG
RNAcentral lists this ribosomal RNA (400 nucleotides) under uncultured bacterium. Its description in RNAcentral is "bacterial SSU rRNA". It matches the Rfam family "Bacterial small subunit ribosomal RNA", at positions 355 to 752 of the family's 1533-position model. The record is from RNAcentral.